This 520-nucleotide ribosomal RNA is filed under the name uncultured bacterium. Its description in RNAcentral is "bacterial SSU rRNA". It matches the Rfam family "Bacterial small subunit ribosomal RNA", at positions 988 to 1509 of the family's 1533-position model. The record is from RNAcentral.
CCAGAGAACUUAGCAGAGAUGCUUUGGUGCCUUCGGGAACUCUGAGACAGGUGCUGCAUGGCUGUCGUCAGCUCGUGUUGUGAAAUGUUGGUUAAGUCCCGCAACGAGCGCAACCCUUAUCCUUUGUUGCCAGCGGCUCGGCCGGGAACUCAAAGGAGACUGCCGGUGAUAAACCGGAGGAAGGUGGGGAUGACGUCAAGUCAUCAUGGCCCUUACGGCCAGGGCUACACACGUGCUACAAUGGCGCAUACAAAGAGAAGCGACCUCGCGAGAGCAAGCGGACCUCACAAAGUGCGUCGUAGUCCGGAUUGGAGUCUGCAACUCGACUCCAUGAAGUCGGAAUCGCUAGUAAUCGUAGAUCAGAAUGCUACGGUGAAUACGUUCCCGGGCCUUGUACACACCGCCCGUCACACCAUGGGAGUGGGUUGCAAAAGAAGUAGGUAGCUUAACCUUCGGGAGGGCGCUUACCACUUUGUGAUUCAUGACUGGGGUGAAGUCGUAACAAGGUAAGCGUAGCGAG